AUCCGGAUGACGAGUCCUCAAUAGGACGAAAUGAGCAUCCUGGAU
This 45-nucleotide non-coding RNA is filed under the name Trichobilharzia regenti. Lineage: Eukaryota; Metazoa; Platyhelminthes; Trematoda; Strigeidida; Schistosomatidae. The record is from RNAcentral.